AUUGAACGCUGGCGGCAGGCCUAACACAUGCAAGUCGAACGGUAACAGGGAUCAGCUUGCUGAUUCGCUGACGAGUGGCGGACGGGUGAGUAAUGUCUGGGAAACUGCCUGAUGGAGGGGGAUAACUACUGGAAACGGUAGCUAAUACCGCAUAACGUCGCAAGACCAAAGAGGGGGACCUUCGGGCCUCUUGCCAUCGGAUGUGCCCAGAUGGGAUUAGCUAGUAGGUGGGGUAACGGCUCACCUAGGCGACGAUCCCUAGCUGGUCUGAGAGGAUGACCAGCCACACUGGAACUGAGACACGGUCCAGACUCCUACGGGAGGCAGCAGUGGGGAAUAUUGCACAAUGGGCGCAAGCCUGAUGCAGCCAUGCCGCGUGUAUGAAGAAGGCCCUCGGGUUGUAAAGUACUUUCAGCGGGGAGGAAGGGAGUAAAGUUAAUACCUUUGCUCAUUGACGUUACCCGCAGAAGAAGCACCGGCUAACUCCGUG
This 490-nucleotide ribosomal RNA is filed under the name uncultured bacterium. RNAcentral's name for it is "partial 16S ribosomal RNA". It matches the Rfam family "Bacterial small subunit ribosomal RNA", at positions 30 to 507 of the family's 1533-position model. The record is from RNAcentral.